UUGAUCAUGCUCAGAUUGAACGCUGGCGGCAGGCCUAACACAUGCAAGUCGAACGGUAGCACAGAGAGCUUGCUCUCGGGUGACGAGUGGCGGACGGGUGAGUAAUGUCUGGGACACUGCCUGAUGGAGGGGGAUAACUACUGGAAACGGUAGCUAAUACCGCAUAACGUCGCAAGACCAAAGAGGGGGACCUUCGGGCCUCUUGCCAUCAGAUGUGCCCAGAUGGGAUUAGCUAGUAGGUGGGGUAACGGCUCACCUAGGCGACGAUCCCUAGCUGGUCUGAGAGGAUGACCAGCCACACUGGAACUGAGACACGGUCCAGACUCCUACGGGAGGCAGCAGUGGGGAAUAUUGCACAAUGGGCGCAAGCCUGAUGCAGCCAUGCCGCGUGUAUGAAGAAGGCCUUCGGGUUGUAAAGUACUUUCAGCGGGGAGGAAGG
Molecule: ribosomal RNA, 439 nt
Filed under: Enterobacter cancerogenus
Lineage: Bacteria; Pseudomonadati; Pseudomonadota; Gammaproteobacteria; Enterobacterales; Enterobacteriaceae
Description: bacterial SSU rRNA
Rfam family: Bacterial small subunit ribosomal RNA
Source: RNAcentral